RNAcentral lists this long non-coding RNA (689 nucleotides) under Amphibalanus amphitrite. RNAcentral's name for it is "uncharacterized LOC122383738". The record is from RNAcentral. Lineage: Eukaryota; Metazoa; Arthropoda; Thecostraca; Balanomorpha; Balanidae.
AGUACCUGGAUCGGCAACUCCUCGAUGUUUGUGACCACCGCUAGGUGGCAGUGGUGUCGAGCGCUAAGGACGCGGGGGAGCGGGUGCUAUUCAAAACAAUGGUCGGCGUCGCGUCGUAGGAUCGUUUGCCUUGUUUUUUGAAAAGUUAAGCCCCUUUGGAGCAGAUUGGAAGGUUUCAGAAGAUGGAGGAAGAUGGCAAGAUCAAAGAGAUGGGUUCAGUUUCCACGGUGUGCUGACUUGAAUUGGCAUCCUGUGAUUUGUGAUGUGAAUUAUGAUGCACGCACUCGCAGGUGCACGCCCACUGCGGACACGUGUGACGUGACGGCAGCAGGCAGCCGGGGUGUGAACUGUGAACUGGCUCGGCCGAAAAUGUUUAAGGUAUUACAGCGUUUGUAACUGACUAACAUACCCACUACGGGCAUACCCAUUGAGCGGAUAAUGCGUUCGUGUGCAUCGUGUUUGCAUUUAUUCCCGAUAUACUCUGGUGGAAGGUGUGAAUUGGAAACCAGCUUGGUGCUACGACACCGUUUAGUAGGCAUGUGGCACGUCGUUUCUCGAAACCUACCUAUCAGUCUAUGCAAUAAUAUGCAUUGUAUACAUUGUGUGUCAUCGUUCACCUUAGUUGUCAUUGAACCUGUGUUAAAUUCUGAACUUCAGGCCGAGACAGACUAUUUCCACAGUCAGGAAAU